RNAcentral lists this ribosomal RNA (274 nucleotides) under uncultured bacterium. RNAcentral describes it as "partial 16S ribosomal RNA". It matches the Rfam family "Bacterial small subunit ribosomal RNA", at positions 523 to 796 of the family's 1533-position model. The record is from RNAcentral.
AUACAGAGGGUGCAAGCGUUAAUCGGAAUUACUGGGCGUAAAGCGCGCGUAGGUGGUUUGAUAAGUUGGAUGUGAAAUCCCCGGGCUUAACCUGGGUCGGUCAUUCAAAACUGUCAGGCUAGAGUAUGGUAGAGGGUAGUGGAAUUUCUAGUGUAGCGGUGAAAUGCGUAGAUAUUAGAAGGAACACCAGUGGCGAAGGCGACUGCCUGGACUGAUACUGACACUGAGGUGCGAAAGCGUGGGUAGCGAACAGGAUUAGAAACCCUUGUAGUCC